Long non-coding RNA from Microtus oregoni (creeping vole), 545 nucleotides. RefSeq lists it as uncharacterized. The record is from RefSeq and is a predicted model, not a curated record. The transcript is spliced from 3 exons. Lineage: Eukaryota; Metazoa; Chordata; Mammalia; Rodentia; Cricetidae.
GGAAACCAAGCUUUUGCGUUUUGAAGUAUGUAGGUUCCAGGGAUCAUUCUUUGGUGGCCAGACUCGAUGCCCUAAUUACCCAACUUCAUAAAAAUUCAAAUUACUCAAAUUACUACUGGAGACCCAGACUACAAAUGAACUUGGGAUCACAGGGCAUCACAGCCUAAAGCACCACCGAGGACACUUGUGUGUUGUUUAUGGCCCGACUCUCCUCGUGCUAGCGACGGUUGGAAACGAGGACUUUGGUCACUUCUAGUCAUUCUUCAAGCCUCAGCUCCGGGAACUUUGUCUGAUACUCAGUAUUUGCAGGGGGAUGGAGGAGAGAUAAUGCAUCUCUCACAGGGCAGAGCAGAGAUGAUUUUAAGUGAUGGAAAGAAGGUGCUUUGAAAGGGGGAGGAAAGAAAACCAUUUUGAGGUAGACCAGUAAUGAAACUACUUAGGAGUUUCCUGCUCUCCAUGUGAGCCCCCCCAGGAAAGGAAAAUGCUGUAAAUGGACAAUAAAGAAAUAGAUGUUUUCAUGGGUGUCUUGUGGGAUUAAAAAUACA